RNAcentral lists this ribosomal RNA (468 nucleotides) under uncultured bacterium. RNAcentral's name for it is "partial 16S ribosomal RNA". It matches the Rfam family "Bacterial small subunit ribosomal RNA", at positions 28 to 507 of the family's 1533-position model. The record is from RNAcentral.
GACGAACGCUGGCGGCGUGCUUAACACAUGCAAGUCGAACGGAAAGGCCCUGCUUUUGUGGGGUGCUCGAGUGGCGAACGGGUGAGUAACACGUGAGUAACCUGCCCUUGACUUUGGGAUAACUUCAGGAAACUGGGGCUCAUACCGGAUAGGAGCUCCUGCUGCAUGGUGGGGGUUGGUAAGUUUCGGCGGUUGGGGAUGGACUCGCGGCUUAUCAGCUUGUUGGUGGGGUAGUUGCUUACCAAGGGUUUGACGGGUAGCCGGCCUGAGAGGGUGACCGGCCACAUUGGGACUGAGAUACGGCCCAGACUCCUACGGGAGGCAGAAGUGGGGAAUAUUGCACAAUGGGCGGAAGCCUGAUGCAGCAACGCCGCGUGCGGGAUGACGGCCUUCGGGUUGUAAACCGCUUUCGCCUGUGACGAAGCGUGAGUGACGGUAAUGGGUAAAGAAGCACCGGCUAACUACGUG